AGCAGCCGCGGUAAUUCCAGCUCCAAUAGCGUAUAUUAAAGUUGUUGCAGUUAAAAAGCUCGUAGUUGAAUUUCGGGGUUCUACCGUCGGUCGGGCUACCAAGUCUGUACUGGUGUGUAGAAUUUCUACCUUCUGGGGAACCAUCAUGUUAUUAAUUUAGCGUGGUGGGAAACCAGGACCUUUACCUUGAAAAAAUUAGAGUGUUCAAGGCAGGCUUUUGUCUGAAUACAUUAGCAUGGAAUAAUAGAAUAGGACGGUGGUCCUGUUUUGUUGGUUUCUGAAUCACCGUAAUGAUUAAUAGGGAUAGUUGGGGGCAUUAGUAUUCAAUUGUCAGAGGUGAAAAUUCUUGGAUUUAUUGAAGACUAAACUUCUGCGAAAAGCAUUUGCCAAGGAUGUUUUCAUUUAAUCAAGAACGAAAGUUAGGGGAUCGAAGACGAUCAGAUACCGUCG
RNAcentral lists this ribosomal RNA (450 nucleotides) under uncultured Glomeromycotina. RNAcentral's name for it is "SSU rRNA". It matches the Rfam family "Eukaryotic small subunit ribosomal RNA", at positions 569 to 1020 of the family's 1831-position model. Lineage: Eukaryota; Fungi; Glomeromycota. The record is from RNAcentral.